Molecule: non-coding RNA, 374 nt
Organism: Pelobates cultripes (western spadefoot toad)
Lineage: Eukaryota; Metazoa; Chordata; Amphibia; Anura; Pelobatidae
Source: the annotation of a GenBank genome assembly
CCAGCCACACACCGGACCACCAGGGACCCACUGAACCACCGUGAAAUGAAUUAUUGCCUCCUCUGCCUGCACAGAAGGUAAGCAGGAGGGGGCAAAGCAAAAUAUAUUAAAUGUAUUUUAAGUCUGCCACAUACCCUAUCACAUUAACCCUCUAACCACCUAACCCUGUCUCUGUAGCCCCCCCUAACCCUGAUGUGUGCAUAAAUGUGUAAAUGCAUUGUUCAAUGAGUAAGUAGAGCAGGAGUGUAUAUGUUCAUGUGUUAAUUUAAGGGUUUGCUUAUUUUGAAGUUGAAUGCAGUGGUGUAUUUUUGUGGAGGACUUGUGUGUGUGCACACAGUGGAGUGCUGUUGUAUGAAUGCCAGUGUAUAUUAGUA